Culex pipiens pallens (northern house mosquito) is the source of this 613-nucleotide long non-coding RNA. RefSeq lists it as uncharacterized. The transcript has 2 exons. NCBI's taxonomy places the organism in Eukaryota, Metazoa, Arthropoda, Insecta, Diptera, Culicidae. The record is from RefSeq and is a predicted model, not a curated record.
UUAAGCCCUUUGCGUUUUAGAGCCUUUGUAAACAUUGGCGUGUUUCAUUUUCCAUUUGGGCCCUAUGUCAAACGGCCAAACACGACGGCAGGAUUUGUUUUUGUUAUUGUUUUGUUUUUUGGCCUCGUAGGCCAAUCCAAAACAAAUCAGGCUUUCGUGUUUGGCCUUUUGAAUCAAAAAUUUAUUUUCGCUCGUUUUUGUUAAUUUAACAGUUAAUAUCGCGUUUUUUAUUACAAUUUCUGUUGUACAUCGAGUAUUCCUGCAUUCCAAAUGGAAAGUUCGUGAUACUUAGAUGGCUAAAGAAGCCCACAAACUUGGCUGGUAGGUGCUCCAGGAAAAAAUGUGAGGACAUUUGUGGAAGGAAUAACGUCCUACGAUGCCGAAGGAGGCGAUUGUUGCAUUCCGUUAUCGGAGACGUGGAGACCAAGCCGCAUGACUAUCUCCGUCGAACUUGUACGUUGCCGACGGGUCGAUGGCACCGACGGCUUGACCGGCUACAACUAGGUGAAAAGGAGUAAUCAGUGCGAAUGUACUUAUCAACGGGGAGAUUCAUCGGAACUAGUGACAUGGAAUAGCAAAGAAAUGGUAUUAUGUAAUAAAUUUAUGUAAAUGA